RNAcentral lists this long non-coding RNA (204 nucleotides) under Sorghum bicolor (sorghum). Its description in RNAcentral is "long non-coding RNA (SBIC_LNC013787)". Lineage: Eukaryota; Viridiplantae; Streptophyta; Magnoliopsida; Poales; Poaceae. The record is from RNAcentral.
UGAUAACUAAGUUAUACGUGAUCCACUAGGUACGAAACUUUUACCAUAGUUCAAGCAUACAAUAAUGAGCUCACCAUAAAAAUUUCACCACAGUUGGAUCAUAGGAACUGCAUAUAUCAAUUAUUCGAUUUAAUUACAGAAAAACAUAGAUUUAAAGCUACAACAAAAACUUUAUACUAAAGUAUACCAUAUUAUAUAUUCACU